GGUGUCAGCCCCCCGCCCGGCCAGCCGCCCCGUCCGGGAGGGAGGUGGGGGUGUCAGCCCCCCGCCCGGCCAGCCGCCCCGUCUGGGAGGUGAGGGGCGCCUCUGCCCGGCCGCCCAUACUGGGAAGUGAGGAGCCCCUGUGCCCGGCCAGCCGCCCCGUCCGGGAGGGAGGUUGGGGGGUCAGCCCCCCGCCCGGCCAGCCGCCCCGUCCGGGAGGUGAGGGGCGC
This 227-nucleotide long non-coding RNA is filed under the name Homo sapiens (human). RNAcentral describes it as "HSALNT0323150". Lineage: Eukaryota; Metazoa; Chordata; Mammalia; Primates; Hominidae. The record is from RNAcentral.